AUGGAAACAUCGGCUCAGAACAUUCCCCUGUCGCUGGAACCCAACCUUCUUGCUUUUCCACCCCUGCAACCGAGAACAGCUGUCCGAGGCCGGGAGAGGCGACAGGUGCAGGACAGCGGCACGGACGGACGGGAGCAGGGGCAGCCACAUCUGAGAUGGAUCCUGAGCGGCCAGAACCCAAGCAGCCCUGAUCGCAGGAGGCCCAGCCACCCCGACCCCCUCCACGGGGCUGGCCCAGAAGCAGAUGCGACACCCAAGUGCACACGCCGACUGCUGCGUGGGCUUUUCCGCCGGGAACGCCUGGGGUGA
This 309-nucleotide long non-coding RNA is filed under the name Callithrix jacchus (white-tufted-ear marmoset). Its description in RNAcentral is "lncRNA (ENSCJAG00000075773.1)". The record is from RNAcentral. Lineage: Eukaryota; Metazoa; Chordata; Mammalia; Primates; Cebidae.